UCCGGUUGAUCCUGCCGGACCUGACUGCUAUCGGGAUGAGGCUAAGCCAUGGAAGUCGACGUGCGCCCUUGUGCACGUGGCGUACGGCUCAGUAACGCGUGGCUAACCUGCCCUCGUGACGGGGAUAACCUCGGGAAACUGAGGAUAAUCCCCGAUAGGCGAGCGGCUUUGGAAGAACCGCUCACCGAAAGGGACGGAGGAAAUGGCCUUCGUCCGCGCGAGGAUGGGGCUGCGUCCCAUCAGGCAGUUGGUGGGGUAAUGGCCCACCAAACCUAUAACGGGUACGGGCCGUGAGAGCGGGAGCCCGGAGAUGGGCACUGAGACAAGGGCCCAGGCUCUACGGAGCGCACCAAGCGCGAAACCUUCGCAAUGCGGGAAACCGUGACGGGGCCAUCCCGAGUGCAGGCUGCUGAGGUCUGCUUUUGCCCAGUGUAAGAAGCUGGGCGAAUAAGUGGGGGGCAAGACUGGUGUCAGCCGCCGCGGUAAUACCAGCUCCACGAGUGGUCAGGACGGUUAUUGGGCCUAAAGCGUCCGUAGCCGGCCCGGUAAGUUUAUGGUGAAAUCCGGCAUCUCAAGUGUCGGAGCGCUGUAAAUACUGCCGGGCUAGGGAGCGGGAGAGGCCGAGGGUACCUCCGGGGUAGGGGCGAAAUCCUAUAAUCCCGGAGUGACGACCAGUGGCGAAAGCGCUCGGCUAGAACGCGUCCGACGGUGAGGGACGAAAGCUGGGGUAGCAAACCGGAUUAGAUACCCGGGUAGUCCCAGCCGUAAACUAUGCGGGCUAGUUGUCGGAACGGCUUAGGGCCGCUCCGGUAACGCAGGGAAGCCAUUAAGCCCGCCGCCUGGGGAGUACGACCGCAAGGUUGAAACUUAAAGGAAUUGGCGGGGGAGCACCACAAGGGGUGAAGCUUGCGGCUCAAUUGGAGUCAACGCCGGG
Molecule: ribosomal RNA, 934 nt
Filed under: uncultured archaeon
Lineage: Archaea
Description: bacterial SSU rRNA
Rfam family: Archaeal small subunit ribosomal RNA
Source: RNAcentral